CCUCGGCUGCCUUUCCUCUAUGCCCUAGCAUCUCUGCCGAUGCCACUGUCUCUCUUUCUCCCGACGCCGAGCAGCACCGAGCCCUAGGUGCCAACGCCGUCGACGCCUUUUUCCGACCUCUUCUGUGCCACUCCGAGACUCCUUGUCCGAGUUCUCACCGUGCCCUAGCCCCCGCUCAGCAGAUAGCCGGCUGCCAACACUCAAAGCAAUUGUCGAUUUGUAGCCUCUGCCCUAGCCUCUGUUUCCGACGCUGGUAAGGGUUCUGCCGUGGCCACCACUUGGGAUCUGUAUGUCGUCGUCGCCCCUUUGCUCUGGUUUACUGCCUCAGUAGCCCUUGCUGGAAACAACACCGGUGACCUAACUCCUCCGUCCUCUAAUCCAGUGAGCUACUGGAUGAAGCAUCAAGAGUUUGUUGCUGUCUCUGUUUGAUUCCGGCCACCACCCCCUGUCAACAGCUUGGCACACCUGAGUAGGAAGGAUUCCAGCAGCAAACGAUCCUACUUCCAACAGUGA
Long non-coding RNA from Zingiber officinale, 513 nucleotides. RefSeq lists it as uncharacterized. The record is from RefSeq and is a predicted model, not a curated record. The transcript is spliced from 3 exons. NCBI's taxonomy places the organism in Eukaryota, Viridiplantae, Streptophyta, Magnoliopsida, Zingiberales, Zingiberaceae.